Molecule: long non-coding RNA, 625 nt
Filed under: Brassica napus (rape)
Lineage: Eukaryota; Viridiplantae; Streptophyta; Magnoliopsida; Brassicales; Brassicaceae
Description: long non-coding RNA (BNAP_LNC023821)
Source: RNAcentral
CGUUUAGAUUUUAGGGUUUAGAGUUGAAGGUUUAGGGUUUAGAGUUUAGAGUUGAUGUUUUAGGGUUUAGAGUUGAUGUUUUAGGGUUUAGAGUUGAUGUUUUAGGGUUUAGGGUAAUUUUAGGGUUUAAGGUUUAGAGUUUACCUUUUAGGGUUUUGGGUUUAGUGCUGAUAGUUUAGGGUUUAGUGUUGAUGGUUUAGGGUUUAGAGUUCAAGUUUAGUGUUUAGGGUUUAGAGUUGAUGUUUUAGGGUUUAGAGUUGAAGGUUUAGGGUUUAGGGUUUAGAAUUGAUGUUUCGGGGUUUAGGGUUUAGAGUUGAUGUUUCAGGGUUUAGGGUUCGUAUUUCAAAAAAAAAUAGGGUUUAGGAUUGAUGGUUUAGGGUUCGUAUUUUAAAAAAAAAAGGUUUAGCAUUGGUGGUUUAGGGUUAAGAGUUGAGUUUUAGGGUUUAUGGUUUAAAUUUCGAAAUAGUAUAAUUGGAAGAAAACUAAAAAAAAUAUUUUUUAUUUUUUUAGCUUUUUAUUUAUUUAAAUAUUUAUUUAUUAUAUAUAUAAAGAACAAGGGUAUAAGAGUCUUUUGCCACUUAAUGAAGAAUGUAUUUUUGAAAAUGUCCCUUUAGUGGUGGUAAAA